UCCUAAGCUAAACUUAUAAGGUUACAGGACUCAUCUGAAUUUAUGUCUAUGGACAAAUAGGGAAAUUGGAAAUAAGAUAAUUCAUGAUGUUUUGAAGUGGAUAAUUUCUGUUAUAGGCAUAAAAAUGUUUUACAGUAGAACAAUUAAUUUUGCUUGGAGAUAAAUAAAGAAAAUAUAGUUAUUUUGAAGCUAAGUGCUUUAUAUGUGGCCAUAUUCAUAAAGCUGUGCAAUAUCAGCUUAUCUUCAAAUAAUGAAUCAUGACAUGAUCCUGAGUACUUAACUCGCACAUCUGUUCACUGGUUCCAUGGAUUGCAUGCCACCUGCAUGCUUAGUGAUUUCCAGCUCCUAAAUAUAGUUUCAUUAUGAAUUGAGGAACAAAUAAACACAUGUGCACUGUCAGUGCACAACUCAGACAGAUGGAAAAGCUGCAGAUCAAAUGGUGUAAAAUGCAUGCAUAAGUUGGUGUGUGUGUAACAUUUUGAAAAACAAAUAAAUCUAUUAGCUCUUUUGAGAAGAUCAUCAAUGAACUGGUCAAUGCACCUGGAAAGAAGUAAUCAGCUAGCACCUGCUCCUUCUGCUGUCUGUCUGAAAUGAUUGUGUUUACAGGAAUCCUUAACCUAUUAAAACUUUUCCCAUCACAGGUCUGAGCUGACUCUUACAGCUCCACAAAUCUUUCUCUACUGUCCCACAGCCAUGGAGACUAUUCAAGGCAUGUGCCUGGUGAGACCAGAGGUUGACUUUCCCACAGCCAUGGAGACUAUUCAAGGCAUGUGCCUGGUGAGACCAGAGGUUGACUUUCCCAGCACCUUUCAUGAAAGAGAAUUCCACAAGGACAAUGAAAACUUACUAAUCAAAAUAAAUGUAUGAGCUAAGGAAAUAAUCCCAGGAUUGUCACAAACUCUGCUUAACACUGUCCUGAUACCCCUGUGGCUUGUCACCUGGAUCUACUGGGUAUUCACAGCAUGUUCUGACCACAGCUAUGUAUGAGUUCAUCAACAAGAUACCAGAGAAAACUGAUGAACACAUUUGUGUUUAUGAUAUGCCAUGAACCAGGAAGG
Anas platyrhynchos (mallard) is the source of this 1058-nucleotide long non-coding RNA. RefSeq lists it as uncharacterized. The record is from RefSeq and is a predicted model, not a curated record. NCBI's taxonomy places the organism in Eukaryota, Metazoa, Chordata, Aves, Anseriformes, Anatidae.